AGUGAACGCUGGCGGCAGGCCUAACACAUGCAAGUCGAGCGGCAGCGCGGUGGUAGCAAUACCACUGGCGGCGAGCGGCGGACGGGUGAGGAACACAUCGGAAUCUACCUUUUUGUGGGGGAGUAACGUAGGGAACUUACGCUAAUACGCAUACGAGCGUGCAUCGACAGAUAUGCGCUGAAAGCGGGGCCCGAGCAAUGGCCUCGCGCGGAUUGANGAGCC
RNAcentral lists this ribosomal RNA (222 nucleotides) under uncultured bacterium. RNAcentral's name for it is "partial 16S ribosomal RNA". It matches the Rfam family "Bacterial small subunit ribosomal RNA", at positions 29 to 231 of the family's 1533-position model. The record is from RNAcentral.